GUAUUCCAUGCCCACCUCCACCUGUUGAAAGUUGCCUGACUAAAGAGAUGGGCGCAUACAUUAUAAUUGCAUUCAGGAGCACAUUAACAUUCCAACCCUUGUCUGAGAAAGUGAAGAUGAGUGAAGGCUCCGGAGGAGAGGGCAAAGAAGCGGGGAAGGGCAAUGGUGGAGGAGGGAAACACGGCCAUGGGGAUGGGGAAGGAGGAAGAGGUGGCGAGCAUGGUAGAGGAGGUGAACACGGAGGAAGAGGAGAUUGUGGCGGACAUUAAAGAUAUGAUCAUGCAUCUGUUGUCAACACGUAUUACAAAUAAAACAGUUUGGGCGAUUUAGUAAAGUUGACAAAUCUCGAAUAAAACGUACUUAUAAAACCGAACAAAAUAAUUGUAUAACUUCUUAAUGCAUAAGCAAAUAUUAAUGCAAUGGCAUAUCUAAACAGGACAUCUUAUGUCAGAGGCAGUGAGACGCACCACUAUCAUUCUUACCAUUCCUGUGUAUGCCAGAUUGCCCAGAUCAAACACUCAAAGAAGUCAUUCUUAUCAUUUUAGCCCGGAACAUUUGUCUCACCUUGCACCACUUAUGUUUAUCCCUUGUUAUCAAUCCUUUCCACAACAUUUCAGGGGAAAAAAUCCAAAACAAAUGUUUCAGUGUUCAACAAAAAGCCCACAGCAUUGAUACAGUAAAAGGGCCAAUUUCCUCUCAUGUUUAAUGGUCCUUGCAUUACAUUUUAGUCAUUUAGCAGACGCUCUUAUCCAGAGCGACUUACAGUUAGUGAGUGCAUAC
Coregonus clupeaformis (lake whitefish) is the source of this 780-nucleotide long non-coding RNA. RefSeq lists it as uncharacterized. The transcript is spliced from 4 exons. The record is from RefSeq and is a predicted model, not a curated record. NCBI's taxonomy places the organism in Eukaryota, Metazoa, Chordata, Actinopteri, Salmoniformes, Salmonidae.